ACACUCACUUUGGCAGUAUGUAUGCUAAAAUUGGAACAAUAUGGAGAUUUGCAUGGCCCUUGAGCAAGGAUGACACGGAAAUUUAUGAGUAUUCCCCCUUUCUA
Molecule: small nuclear RNA, 104 nt
Filed under: Aotus nancymaae (Ma's night monkey)
Lineage: Eukaryota; Metazoa; Chordata; Mammalia; Primates; Aotidae
Source: RNAcentral